Lagopus leucura (white-tailed ptarmigan) is the source of this 687-nucleotide long non-coding RNA. RefSeq lists it as uncharacterized. The transcript is spliced from 5 exons. Lineage: Eukaryota; Metazoa; Chordata; Aves; Galliformes; Phasianidae. The record is from RefSeq and is a predicted model, not a curated record.
GGUCUGUCAGCAGAAGGAGCAGCAACUGCACCUGGAGACUGCUUCCUUUAGAAUGUGGAGUGAACCCUUGAAACUGGGGCUGUGACCUUUCCUGUUUUUGGGGCAUCCUGGCCACAUUGAAGUGCUGGCAGAUGUAAGGGCAAUGUUGAUCUCUGGAGGCUGUCUGCUGUGGAGCAUGGUAUCCUGACCACAUUUAAGGGGUGAAAGCCAUAAGGGCAGCAUCUCUACCUGGAGACUGCUUCCUUCGCAGUGUGGGCUGAGUGUUCGUCUUUGGAAUGGGGAAGCCAAGGAUUGUCCUCUUCUGGACUGCUGUACUCAGCAUCACCCCAGCGUGAUGAAGUGAAGCCCCUGGUCUGCUGAAUACUGGGACUGGCCCAGAGAGGCUCUGUGACGGAUGUGGAUUAUCCCAGCUGGAGCACUUGGGACUUCACCUGACUGCCUCGACUUCUCAAAUACCACUGAGAGUGGCUCAGUGACUGCAGCGGUGAAUUCCCUCUGAGCUCUGGGACUCGUCUCAUCAGGACCCGAAGACUCCUGGAUGCUCGGGUUCUCAGGUGGUCCAGAACCUGAUCUCCCAUCACAGUGUGGGAUAGGGAGGGGUCUGUGGGAUCGGCUUUGCUUCCUCAGUCCCCACCUACUAAACCAAAGGUGAAGGCAGUGUAUAAUGAGCAGUUAUCAGAGAAGAUG